Molecule: non-coding RNA, 114 nt
Organism: Dufourea novaeangliae
Lineage: Eukaryota; Metazoa; Arthropoda; Insecta; Hymenoptera; Halictidae
Source: Rfam
AUUGGCUACCGGGAUAUGACACCGAAAACUUUCCCAGGGAUGUUUGUCGGAGGGCUGUGCGCGAUUGCUAGCGUUUUAGCCAUUGCCCUUCCUGUUCCUGUUAUUGUCAGCAAC